CCUACGGGUGGCAGCAGUGAGGAAUAUUGGUCAAUGGACGCAAGCCUGAACCAGCCAUGUCGCGUGAAGGAUGACGGCCCUACGAGUUGUAAACUUCUUUUGUAAGGGAGUAAUAUCAGACACGUGUGCCUUUUUGUAUGUACUUUAUGAAUAAGGAUCGGCUAACUCCGUGCCAGCAGCCGCGGUAAUACGGAGGAUCCAAGCGUUAUCCGGAUUUAUUGGGUUUAAAGGGUGCGUAGAUGGUUUGUUAAGUCAGUGGUGAAAGUUUGCGGCUCAACCGUAAAAGUGCAAUUGAUACUGGAAGACUUGAGUACAGUUGAGGUAGGCGGAAUUCGUGGUGUAGCGGUGAAAUGCGUAGAGAUCACGAAGAACUCCGAUUGCGAAGGCAGCUUACCAAACUGUAACUGACAUUGAGGCUCGAAAGUGUGGGGAGCAAACAGGAUUAGAUACCCUAGUAGUC
Molecule: ribosomal RNA, 460 nt
Filed under: uncultured bacterium
Lineage: Bacteria
Description: partial 16S ribosomal RNA
Rfam family: Bacterial small subunit ribosomal RNA
Source: RNAcentral